GUCUCCAUAGUUUAACUGGAUAAAACUGCGGCCUCCUAAGCCGCUGCUCUGGGUUCGAGUCCCGGUGGGGACGCCA
This 76-nucleotide transfer RNA is filed under the name Colwellia sp. RNAcentral describes it as "tRNA-Arg". It matches the Rfam family "tRNA". From Rfam's summary of the family: Transfer RNA (tRNA) molecules are approximately 80 nucleotides in length. Their secondary structure includes four short double-helical elements and three loops (D, anti-codon, and T loops). Lineage: Bacteria; Pseudomonadati; Pseudomonadota; Gammaproteobacteria; Alteromonadales; Colwelliaceae. RNAcentral also lists the same sequence under 2 other names. The record is from RNAcentral.